RNAcentral lists this ribosomal RNA (301 nucleotides) under uncultured bacterium. RNAcentral's name for it is "partial 16S ribosomal RNA". It matches the Rfam family "Bacterial small subunit ribosomal RNA", at positions 509 to 809 of the family's 1533-position model. The record is from RNAcentral.
CAGCCGCCACGGUAAUACAGAGGAUGCAAGCGUUAUCCGGAAUGAUUGGGCGUAAAGCGUCUGUAGGUGGCUUUUCAAGUCCGCCGUCAAAUCCCAGGGCUCAACCCUGGACAGGCGGUGGAAACUACCAAGCUAGAGUACGGUAGGGGCAGAGGGAAUUUCCGGUGGAGCGGUGAAAUGCGUUGAGAUCGAAAAGAACACCAACGACGAAAGCACUCUGCUGGGUCGACACUGACACUGAGAGACGAAAGCUAGGGGAGCAAAUGGGAUUAGAUACCCCCGUAGUCCCUGUCUCUUAUAA